This 613-nucleotide ribosomal RNA is filed under the name uncultured bacterium. RNAcentral's name for it is "bacterial SSU rRNA". The stretch from base 1 to 533 matches the Rfam family "Bacterial small subunit ribosomal RNA", at positions 338 to 873 of the family's 1533-position model. The record is from RNAcentral.
CCUACGGGAGGCAGCAGUAAGGAAUAUUGGUCAAUGGACGCAAGUCUGAACCAGCCAUGCCGCGUGGAGGAUGAAGGUCCUCUGGAUUGUAAACUUCUUUUAUUUGGGAAGAAACCCACGAUUUCUAUUGUGGUUGACGGUACCAGAUGAAUAAGCACCGGCUAACUCCGUGCCAGCAGCCGCGGUAAUACGGAGGGUGCAAGCGUUAUCCGGAUUCACUGGGUUUAAAGGGUGCGUAGGCGGGCAGGUAAGUCAGUGGUGAAAUCUCCGAGCUUAACUUGGAAACUGCCGUUGAUACUAUCUGUCUUGAAUGCUGUGGAGGUAAGCGGAAUAUGUCAUGUAGCGGUGAAAUGCUUAGAUAUGACAUAGAACACCUAUUGCGAAGGCAGCUUGCCACACAGAAAUUGACGCUGAGGCACGAAAGCGUGGGGAUCAAACAGGAUUAGAUACCCUGGUAGUCCACGCCCUAAACGAUGGAUACUCAACAUCAGCGAUACACAGUUGGUGUCUGAGNGAAGACAUAAGUAUCCACCNGGAGACGACCGACGAGUAGAACGUACGAAGAGUAGUAGACGAGAGAGAGCGACGGACGGACGACGACGGAGGGAGGAGG